CUCCUUCAGUGUGCCGAAGAGAUACUGAGUUCUUCCAGAUUUUUGCUUAGCUGGGUAGUUUCUAAACUCAACAGACUCUCCAGGAAAGAAACAGAGACAUGAAGAGGUUAAGACAAGUGACGGAGGUCUCAGGGCCAGGCAGGGAAAGAGUGACUUGUUUUGGAGGGUGGGAGCCCACCCACACAAUCAACCACAGUCACCCAGAUCUGCCCACUGAGCAUGCCUGCCCCUCGUCCUGACAUAACUGAUUAGGAAAUGAUUUCUAAAUGGUCAAGAGUCCAGCCUCGAUAGCCACUUCUCUGAUUCCAACAGAAUUUCUACAGAAGACAAUUUCCUUGUCUCAGCAAGGAAGACAGGCUGAUGGUAAACACAAAGUUCUCUGAACCAAAGCCUUAUAUGUAUGUUUCUGAGGAGGCUCUUUAUAACCUAGUUGCAAGCAAUCUGAACACAGCCCAGCGAAUUUCCAGCUUUUGAAACUCAGAUUUCCUUUUGCGACCCAGGUUCUGCUGAGAAAGUUAUCUUUGGCUCCUCUCUCUCUCACACCCCACAUCCCAUCUGUUCGGAAGUCCUGUUGGCAUUUCGAUCUAUCAAAAUAAAAGUUGCACGUAUGCCUGUGUCCGAUCCCAUUCUCUCUGUGUCCUUUCUCCUCUGUCUUUCUCAAGAAUCUGACAUCUCAGCCCCACAGCUACCAUCCUGGCGGACACUACCACCCUGGGAAAAGCUUCCACCCUCACUUGCCUGGCUUUGCCUCCUGCUUGAACUCCCGGAUUGGGAGCCUUCUGCCUGGACUGGUCUUCACACAGAUCACACCACUCCAAGGAGCAAUGUCCUGCACUGAGCCAUCUUCCAAGAAAUCAAAGCCAAAGUCUUUACAUAGCCUGGCAAGCCCUGCAAGACCUGGCUCCCCUUCCUCUCUGCCCUUACCUCCUUCUUCUCCUUCCCUCCCCCACUUACUCUUUGGAGGAACAGCUAGAUAAGCCAAGCACUCUUACCCUAGGGCUUCUGCAGCAAGUUAUCUGUCCCCUCUGCCUGGGACACUCUUUCCCCAAAACUUCCUGUGCCACCCUCUCUCCUCCUGAGUGUUUGCUCAAAUAUGACCUUCUCAAGGAGGUUCCACUGGCCACUCUAUUUACAAUGGCAGCUUGCACCCUUGCCCUCCCAUUCUCUCGGUCCCAGUGACCUCAAAGAUUCAGGGCAUGUUAGCUGCUACUUACAUCACCAUUCACAGCCUAAGGUUCUCAAAUUGACUUUUAAGAAUUUUCAUGUUGUUCUACAGAAGGAGAGAAAGCCUAAGACUGAUAACAAAAGUCUAAAUGCUCUUAAUGCAGCUGAACUAGACAAAUAAAGUAUCAGAUCGCCAAGAGAUUAACCAUGUUAACCCCAGUAUUCUUUUUGUGGCUGUGGUUGGCAUUAAAUAGGAAAGUGGGUGGACACGUAGGGAUAGUAGUAUUUUUGGUUGGCUUCAAGCUUUGAUGAGUUUUUGUGUGUUUUGUUUUGUUUUACUUUAAAAACCUGCUUUUUAAACACGUAAAUCCUUAUUUGGCUAAUUUUCAGGGCACAGUGUGAGUAUAAACUCAUAUGAGAGUCUAUUGUUCUCUAGAAACUACAGAUUAAGGUGUCUUUAACAGACUGAUGUCUAAUUAUUACAUAAAGGCAUCUGAUUUUUAUACCAGGACACCUAUAAGCACAUUAUUAUAGAGGUGGAACAUUUGAUAACUCUGCCAUGCUACAGUCUGUAACUGACCUUUUGCCUUGCCAUGGAUUCUACCCUAAGGGGAAAAACAACCUGA
Molecule: long non-coding RNA, 1790 nt
Filed under: Homo sapiens (human)
Lineage: Eukaryota; Metazoa; Chordata; Mammalia; Primates; Hominidae
Description: HSALNT0394623
Source: RNAcentral